This is a long non-coding RNA of Oryzias melastigma (Indian medaka), 940 nucleotides long. RefSeq lists it as uncharacterized. The transcript has 2 exons. The record is from RefSeq and is a predicted model, not a curated record. Lineage: Eukaryota; Metazoa; Chordata; Actinopteri; Beloniformes; Adrianichthyidae.
CUUACCAAAGAAAAGAGCAGCAAGAAGAAUCCACAGCCAAUGUUCCAUCUGUACAACAAGGUUUCAAUCAACAGGAGAAACUAGCUGAUGUUCAACAUUCACUCUGACAAUUGUUCUCUUCACAGCACCACUUCUUAUUGACUGAAUGUUGAACACAGAGCAGGAGGAGAGCCCCGCCCACUUCACUAUGUCACCCUCUAGUGGAGGAAUAGAAGAUGACUUUAGAAGAAGAGUUAAAUGCUUCAUGUCUUCUGGGGGGGUUCACAAAAAAAUUUUCAGUCUGAACCACUCAAACACAUUUUCACUCUGGACAUAAUGUCUGAUAGUUGUAGGUAAAUUAGGAUGUAUUUUAGCCAUAAUACUUUAAAGCAUUGCAUAUUAUACUUUAAAAAGAGAGGUUCAAGCUCUUCAUUAGAUUUGAUUAGGAAGCUAAUCUGACUAGCAAAUAACAGUCAAAGGAUUUACCUUUACAUCAAUCCUCAGCAGUGCAAGACAGUUGCUGUUUUUGUGAAAAUGUGUAAUCCUUAUUGUUUAACAUUUAUUUUAAUAUACUGGGCUGCACGGUGGCGCAGUGGUUAGCGCUCUCGCCUGGAUUAUUAUACUUCUAAAUAACACAUGUAACAAUUUUCUUUGUAAAAAAAUGAAAAAAAAAAAAAAAAAACUAAAUAGAAAUAAAUAACAUGCAACAUGCAUGCUUUGGUGAAAUAUUUCCAAAAAGGUGGCUAAUUUUAAUUACUGGACACUUUACAUUUGGCACCUCACUUAGUUUAAUGCAUAUUUGCUAAAAGAGACCAAAGAUUUAAUACGUUUUUAUUAAAAGCUGUGGACAACCUUUGUGGUCUUUAUUAAUACCCUCAAGGCUUUUACAUGGUUUCUAUGCAAAAAUCUCAAAAAUACUUUUAAAUACGAGACUCAUUAAUGGCAGUACUUCAUGAAAAAA